CGAACAUGUAUCUGGCAUUGAGUGCACUGUUAUGUGGCGCGUUUUUCGAGGUAAUGUAGAAAAAGCUGGUAACGGAGACCGCAGCGCUGCCUCCCACGCUAGCCCCAACUGAUCCGCCUCUUCCGUGUCUACCUUUCUGUGCGUCCGGGGACCCAACAAUGGCUCCACCCACACCACCAAGUAUGCCAACGACUACACCCUUCUGGUGGAAUUGCCGUUUUCCUGACCAAUCGAGACCUUGGGAACACUGCCCCAGUGGGAACUGUGUCGGACCAGGACUGAGGUGCGUCGACACAGAGUUAGUCAUUAUUCGUCCUCCCAUUGAGCCGACGCCGCCUCAACCAACAAGGACAA
Long non-coding RNA from Lingula anatina, 354 nucleotides. NCBI's taxonomy places the organism in Eukaryota, Metazoa, Brachiopoda, Lingulata, Lingulida, Lingulidae. The record is from RefSeq and is a predicted model, not a curated record.